UUCACACUCCCAUUCGCCCCCCCAUUGACAAACCCCCCCCCCAUUCUCUCUCUCUGUGCCGGCCGCCCCCGCGCUGUCGCGCAGACGACGUGGUGUCCAAUUACUUCACUCAGGGGAAGCGCUCUCAGCGCUCGGGCCUUCUGCGCGUCUUCGGCCUCCUCCGGGACGCGGUGCUGCCGCGCCGACAGAAGAUCUACUGAGCGCCCCACACUGCGCCCCACACACACGGGGGGGGCUCUGCCCCAUAGCGCCGCGGCUCUGCCCCAUAGAGAUGCGGCUCUGCCCCAUAGCGCCGCGGCUCUGCCCCAUAGAGAUGCGGCUCUGCCCCAUAGAGAUGUGGCUCUGCCCCAUAGCUGUACAGCUCUGCCCAUAGAGAUGCGGCUCUGCCCCAUAGCUGUGAGGCUCUGCCCCAUAGCUGUACAGCUCUGCCCAUAGAGAGGCAGCUCUGCCCCAUAGCGCCGCGGCUCUGCCCCAUAGCGCUGCGGCUCUGCCCCAUAGCGCCACGGCUCUGCCCCAUAGAGAUGUGGCUCUGCCCCAUAGCUGUGAGGCUCUGCCCCAUAGCGCCGCGGCUCUGCCCCAUAGAGAUGUGGCUCUGCCCCAUAGCUGUACAACUCUGCCCAUAGAGAGGCAGCUCUGCCCCAUAACGCCGCGGCUCUGCCCCAUAGCGCUGCGGCUCUGCCCCAUAGCACCGCGGCUCUGCCCCAUAGCUGUGAGGCUCUGCCCCAUAGCGCCGCGGCUCUGCCCCAUAAGAUGUGGCUCUGCCCCAUAGCUGUGAGGCUCUGCCCCAUAGCGCCGCGGCUCUGCCCCAUAGUGCGGCUGUGCCCCAUAGCGCCGCGGCUCUGCCCCAUAGCUGUACAGCUCUGCCCAUAGCAAUGCGGCUCUGCCCCAUAGAGAUGUGGCUCUGCCCCAUAGCUGUACAGCUCUGCCAAUAGAGAGGCAGCUCUGCCCCAUAGCGCCGCGGCUCUGCCCAUAGAGAUGUGGCUCUGCCCCAUAGAGAUGUGGCUCUGCCCCAUAGCUGUGAGGCUGUGCCCCAUAGCACCACGGCUCUGCCCCAUAGAGAUGUGGCUCUGCCCCAUAGCUGUGCGGCUCUGCCCCAUAGAGAUGUGGCUCUGCCAAUAGGGAUGUGGCUCUGCCCCAUAGCGCCGCGGCUCUGCCCCAUAGCACUGCGGCUCUGCCCCAUAGCGCCGCGGCUCUGCCCAUAGCGCCACGGCUCUGCCCCAUAGAGAUGUGGCUCUGCCCCAUAGCUGUGAGGCUCUGCCCCAUAGCGCCGCGGCUCUGCCCCAUAGAGAUGUGGCUCUGCCCCAUAGCUGUACAACUCUGCACAUAGAGAGGCAGCUCUGCCCCAUAGCUGUGAGGCUCUGCCACAUAGCAGUGCAGCUCUGCCCAUAGAGAUGUGGCUCUGCCCCAUAGAGAUGUGGCUCUGCCCCAUAGCUGUGAGGCUCUGCCCCAUAGCACUGCGGCUCUGCCCAUAGCAGUGUGGCUCUGCCCCAUAGCGAUGCGGCUCUGCCCCACAGCACUGCGGCUCUGCCCCAUAGCACCACGGCUCUGCCCAUAGAGAUGUGGCUCUGCCCCAUAGAGAUGUGGCUCUGCCCCACAGCUGUGCAGCUCUGCCCCCCCUCCCCCCCCCCCGGCCCUGUGAAGGACUGUAAUAUGGGGGGGGGGGGGAAUGGAUGUAGGGGGGGGGGCUGAGGAUGGCCGCCCCACAGCGGCCCCACAGUGCGUCGUGACCCCCCCUUCCCCCCCCCCCCCCCCCCCCCAACGGUGUCGGGCUGAGGUUGACGCAGAACUGUCGGUUAAUUAAAGUUAAUUGUAAUUAGUAAUGAAAGGCAGCGCUCCA
This is a long non-coding RNA of Gallus gallus (chicken), 1837 nucleotides long. The record is from Ensembl. NCBI's taxonomy places the organism in Eukaryota, Metazoa, Chordata, Aves, Galliformes, Phasianidae.